Molecule: long non-coding RNA, 258 nt
Filed under: Homo sapiens (human)
Lineage: Eukaryota; Metazoa; Chordata; Mammalia; Primates; Hominidae
Description: non-protein coding lnc-SLC5A7-1:1
Source: RNAcentral
UCUGAGAGAUUGUUUGUUAUGAUUUCAGUUAUUUUGCAUUUGCUGAGAAGUGCUUUACUUUUAGAGUAAGUGCCAUGUGGCAAUAAAAAUAAUUUAUAUUCUGUUGAAUUUGGGUGAAGAGUUCUGUAGAUAUCUAUCAGGUCCACUUGAUGCAGAGCUGAGUUCAGCUCCUGAAUAGCUUUGUUAAUUUUCUGUCUUAAUGAUCUGUCUAAUAUUGUCAGUGAGGUGUUAAAAUCUCCCACUUUUAUUGUAUGGGAG